GCCAUAGCUCAGUGGUAGAGCAUUUGCCUUGCAUGCAGAAGGUCCCAGGUUCAAUCCCAAAUAGCAGCU
Molecule: non-coding RNA, 69 nt
Organism: Podarcis lilfordi (Lilford's wall lizard)
Lineage: Eukaryota; Metazoa; Chordata; Lepidosauria; Squamata; Lacertidae
Source: the annotation of a GenBank genome assembly